This 202-nucleotide ribosomal RNA is filed under the name uncultured bacterium. RNAcentral describes it as "partial 16S ribosomal RNA". It matches the Rfam family "Bacterial small subunit ribosomal RNA", at positions 1300 to 1500 of the family's 1533-position model. The record is from RNAcentral.
GUAGUCUGCAACUCGACUACAUGAAGCCGGAAUCGCUAGUAAUCGCGGAUCAGAAUGCCGCGGUGAAUACGUUCCCCGGGUCUUGUACACACCGCCCGUCACACCAUGGGAGCCGGAAAUGCCCGAAGUCAGUGACCCAACCGCGAGGAGGGAGCUGCCGAAGGCAGGUCUGGUAACUGGGGUGAAGUCGUAACAAGGUAUC